AUUAUUCUAUCCCAUCCCUCUGGUUCAUCUGCCUCCUUUGCACAUUCCCAGAUGAAGCUCUCAACCUAACAGGUUUGUCUGGGAGUGGACGAGUGGCUGGGACCAUCAGACAUUACUUUGCCAUGAAGAUGGAAGAAGAAUCAUAACAGAGGAGAUUCCUACUGUAUCAAGUAAGGAAGACUGAAAAGGCUCGAGGGCAGAUGUCUGAUAACAGCCCUCAUAAAAGAAGUAGAAGACUAACUAGUGUCAGAAAAGGACAUCGCCUUCCCUCUAAUGGGAAAGAGAGAAGACAGAAUGAAGUUCAGCCAACUACUUCCUCAUCUGUUCUUGCAGUAGGGUCCCAUCAUUAGGCAAAUUGCGUGAAAAAUGCAUCUACUGUUCUGGAACUGGAAACUGUGAUGAAAGCAUUGUGGGAGGCAAUGAGAAGACUAACUAACUGCUGUGUCUGCCUUCUUUCUACAUGGUUUAUUGCUUCCUAAGCAGAUUGUUAUACCUCUUAUCUUCUGCAGUGCACCGGCAUUAAAGCAAAAGACAGUCCUGCUCUAAGAAGCUGAAUAGAGAAGGGUAGCUUUGUUCUGCAGAAGACUGUGAUAUUUCAGAAUGUGGUUUCUUUCUGUCUGGAAAAAAACUUCUCUUUAGAAAAAGGGCAUGACUACAGCUCCUAAGAUCUGCAUGAGGUGGACUGCCCUAGAAUCAUGAGCCAAGAGAGUCCCCACCCAGCGGGCUACCCCAUAGAUGAGGACGCAGCCAUCAGGGAAGAAUGUGCUUGGACACCCUUGAGAGCCACGGCUUGCAGCACUUCCCAGAUCUCUGCCAAGGAACCAGGUCAGCAAAUAGUCAGGAAGCUGGGUAGAGUUCUCGUUAAAACACUAAGUUUUGAUGACUCAGCAAACGCUCAAUUAAAAACAUAUCAGAAUUUUUCCAACCAGCCCUACUUGUAAUCUAAACAAAUAAAGGAUAUGGGGAGGAGAUCACGUCCUCACUUUACAGCAGAGGGACUGAGGCACAAAGAUAUGCCAGGUGCUAUAGAAAGUCCACACCUGGGAGGCAAACUUCGAUCCCAUGCUGUCCCUUAACCACAAGGGUAUCCUUCCUCUAAACUUAAUUAAUUAGUCAUUACAGUGACCAUGUGAUACAAGUAUUACUUUCAUUUUAUAAAUGGAAACCAAAAUAACAUGUACAACAGCAAAUAGAAAGCCUGUAUCUGAGCCAGGACCAUGCUUCUAAAGAUGCUAAGCUUUUGUAGCAAGCCUACCUCUUUCUUUCAUGGACAACAUACACAGACAAGAUAUGGUCAGAUUUGCUGGAUGACCUUACUUACAUAAUCAUGCUAAUUGUAGCAGUGGUAUAUAUUCGUACAACAAAACUAUUCUGUGCUGUGGUUAUAGUAAAGCUAUAUUGUCCAUAC
This is a long non-coding RNA of Gallus gallus (chicken), 1408 nucleotides long. Lineage: Eukaryota; Metazoa; Chordata; Aves; Galliformes; Phasianidae. The record is from Ensembl.